This 207-nucleotide ribosomal RNA is filed under the name uncultured bacterium. RNAcentral's name for it is "partial 16S ribosomal RNA". It matches the Rfam family "Bacterial small subunit ribosomal RNA", at positions 568 to 774 of the family's 1533-position model. The record is from RNAcentral.
CGCGUAGGCGGCCUGGUAAGUCCGGAGUGAAAGUCCUGCUUUUAAGGUGGGAAUUGCUUUGGAUACUGUUGGGCUCGAGUGCAGGAGAGGAAAGCGGAAUUACCGGUGUAGCGGUGAAAUGCGUAGAGAUCGGUAGGAACACCAGUGGCGAAGGCGGCUUUCUGGACUGAAACUGACGCUGAGGCGCGAAAGCGUGGGGAGCAAACA